CCUACGGGCGGCAGCAGUGGGGAAUAUUGGACAAUGGGCGAAAGCCUGAUCCAGCCAUGCCGCGUGUGUGAAGAAGGCCUUCGGGUUGUAAAGCACUUUCAGUGGGGAAGAAAGCCUUGGGGCUAAUACCCUCGAGGAAGGACAUCACCCACAGAAGAAGCACCGGCUAACUCCGUGCCAGCAGCCGCGGUAAUACGGAGGGUGCGAGCGUUAAUCGGAAUUACUGGGCGUAAAGCGCGCGUAGGCGGUCUGAUAAGCCGGUUGUGAAAGCCCCGGGCUCAACCUGGGAACGGCAUCCGGAACUGUCAGGCUAGAGUGCAGGAGAGGAAGGUAGAAUUCCCGGUGUAGCGGUGAAAUGCGUAGAGAUCGGGAGGAAUACCAGUGGCGAAGGCGGCCUUCUGGACUGACACUGACGCUGAGGUGCGAAAGCGUGGGUAGCAAACAGGAUUAGCUACCCGAGUAGUC
Molecule: ribosomal RNA, 465 nt
Filed under: Vreelandella stevensii
Lineage: Bacteria; Pseudomonadati; Pseudomonadota; Gammaproteobacteria; Oceanospirillales; Halomonadaceae
Description: partial 16S ribosomal RNA
Rfam family: Bacterial small subunit ribosomal RNA
Source: RNAcentral